RNAcentral lists this ribosomal RNA (1339 nucleotides) under Triticum aestivum (bread wheat). RNAcentral's name for it is "partial small subunit ribosomal RNA". Lineage: Eukaryota; Viridiplantae; Streptophyta; Magnoliopsida; Poales; Poaceae. The record is from RNAcentral.
GAAAUUCAGCCCGCAAUCCUCUGUUUAAUCUUAUCCAGACCCCCCUCUCCAGCGACGGCGGAGCACGGGCAGGUGAGGGGCGGCGCCCUUGUCGCGACCUCCGACCCACCUCGUCGCCGACCCUCCCCGUCCUCUUCUCCCACCUUGCAGCUCCGACCUCGCCACGCCCUGCAUCUGAGUCCCCGCUGUGUACGAGGAGAAGGCGGCGAGCUGGCAACACCCGUAGUGCUGGGAGUGGCGAUGCCGCCGCGGCGCUAGAUGCGGGAGGCCCGUGCACAGCGGCGCCAGUGCAGCCGCUCCAGGUGGCCGACGUUGUGGCCGUGGAGAUGCACGUUGGGCUCGCCUCUGAGGGCGCGGGAGCAGCUCGGUGUGCUAUGCCACCCGCACGGCUACUACAGGUGGCCGACAUCAUGUCCGUGGAGAUGCACGCAGGGGUCGCCUCCAAGUGCGCGGGAGCAAGGUCGAGAUGGUCAUCAACUAUGGCGAUUCUCUCCCGCCAAGGUCCAAUCCUUCCCCGUUCAGAUCUGGAAGUCCGGCCUUAGCCCGGGUAGCUCUCGUGGAAGGGAUACACCACGAGCCCUGAUUUGAUCUGGCGAUAGCGGCACAACAAAAUUCAGAUUACAAACUAGAGGUGGGGCUACCGAGGUUGGGAGGGGGACCGGUGAAACUCAACUGUAACGUUUGCGCGGAUGCGCAACAUGAUUUAGAUAGCCAAGACGGGGGAGGUUCUUAAGAGUCGAGGAUGAUGAUUAGAGGUACUCUAUGAAGUAUGAGAAGGAUGGGGAGAUGGAGAGAGUCCUCAAGAAGACUGCGCUGAUUGGGAAGUUAGAGGUAAUGAGGUAGGCGCUGGGGAAUAAUUUAUGUGCGUACUAUGUUUGCGAGAACAUUCGCAUGACGACGUCCGAAAGGAGCACAUCGGACAAAGCACUUUGGAUGCAAGAGAAGCGGGAUAAGCUCCUACCAGCAGAUCGUGUAUGAGUAAUUCAAGAGGAAAUAGCAGGAUUUUUGCUCGACGAGGUUAUAAAUCCCAAAGGAGAAUACCAUUACAAGCUGUAAUGGCUCCAUGUAAUGAUCUAUUUUUAGGGGCAUCUACAUGAAUCCCAUGCAUGGCUUUGCGGCAUGCAAGUCUUUCCUGCUAGACAAGCAAGAAAACAGAGCCAUCACGCUUGCCCUACUGUAGCAGCCUUCAAAGCACCACAGAAUGUGGGCUCUCUCAAUGUCAGUUCAUUAGCUGAGCUGAUCUCACAUGCUAACAUCAUGUAAUCUUUUUUCUACAUUGCACAUUUAUCAGUUGGAUUAUAUCGUAGACUGCAGUUCAGAUCAUUAUCAUGUAUGUUGC